Molecule: long non-coding RNA, 424 nt
Filed under: Capra hircus (goat)
Lineage: Eukaryota; Metazoa; Chordata; Mammalia; Artiodactyla; Bovidae
Description: lncRNA (ENSCHIG00000006880.1)
Source: RNAcentral
ACCAGGCAGAGGAAGAGAAGUGUCUUUCAAUUCUAAGACAUGUUUUUCUGCUUAUGUCAAGAUACCAACUUGUGGGCACAGCAUAUUGUCCUCCAGGUGUGGGGGUGGAAAAUCACCAGAAGGUAUCAGGAAGAAUGCGGACACCUUCCUUCGUUUUCCAGGCACCCAUGCCUGCCCAGCAUGAAACUGUAAACGAAUCCAGCCUUCUGUGUUAGCUGGGAGACUUCUCCCGUGGACCACGCACCAGCGGACCUCACAGGUCUCUUGUGAUCCUACUGACUCCGUCUUCACGGCCCUGGCUGUCAUUCUGCUCCAGGAGGCAAACACAGCCUCUGAGUCGAGGGCAGAAGUGGAUACAAAUGCCUCAAGAGGCGGAGGAGCUCCCUCAAGGGCAGGUGGCCCCCGUGCAAGAGGAGCAGCCCCA